ACAUCCAGCGAACUUGGCAGAGAUGCCUUUGGUGCCUUCGGGAACGCUGAGACAGGUGCUGCAUGGCUGUCGUCAGCUCGUGUUGUGAAAUGUUGGGUUAAGUCCCGNAACGAGCGCAACCCUUAUCCUUUGUUGCCAGCGAUUCGGUCGGGAACUCAAAGGAGACUGCCGGUGAUAAACCGGAGGAAGGUGGGGAUGACGUCAAGUCAUCAUGGCCCUUACGAGUAGGGCUACACACGUGCUACAAUGGCGCAUACAAAGAGAAGCGACCUCGCGAGAGCAAGCGGACCUCAUAAAGUGCGUCGUAGUCCGGAUCGGAGUCUGCAACUCGACUCCGUGAAGUCGGAAUCGCUAGUAAUCGUGGAUCAGAAUGCCACGGUGAAUACGUUCCCGGGCCUUGUACACACCGCCCGUCACACCAUGGGAGUGGGUUGCAAAAGAAGUAGGUAGCUUAACCUUCGGGAGGGCGCUUACCACUUUGUGAUUCAUGACUGGGGUGAAGUCGUAACAAGGUAGGCGUAGCGAG
Molecule: ribosomal RNA, 526 nt
Filed under: uncultured bacterium
Lineage: Bacteria
Description: bacterial SSU rRNA
Rfam family: Bacterial small subunit ribosomal RNA
Source: RNAcentral